Mycena rosella is the source of this 92-nucleotide non-coding RNA. The record is from the annotation of a GenBank genome assembly. NCBI's taxonomy places the organism in Eukaryota, Fungi, Basidiomycota, Agaricomycetes, Agaricales, Mycenaceae.
GACCCGAUGGUGGAGUGGUUACCACACCUGCUUUAAGUGCACAAUGGAACAUGUUUCAGUAGGAGAGCCCCGUUCGAUUCGGGGUCGGGUCA